Molecule: ribosomal RNA, 253 nt
Filed under: uncultured bacterium
Lineage: Bacteria
Description: partial 16S ribosomal RNA
Rfam family: Bacterial small subunit ribosomal RNA
Source: RNAcentral
UACGUAGGGGGCAAGCGUUGUCCGGAUUUACUGGGCGUAAAGGGCGCGUAGGCGGCGUGGUAAGUCACUUGUGAAAUCUCUGAGCUUAACUCAGAACGGUCAAGUGAUACUGCUGUGCUAGAGUGCGGAAGGGGCAAUCGGAAUUCUUGGUGUAGCGGUGAAAUGCGUAGAUAUCAAGAGGAACACCUGAGGUGAAGACGGGUUGCUGGGCCGACACUGACGCUGAUGCGCGAAAGCCAGGGGAGCAAACGGG